Molecule: small RNA, 126 nt
Filed under: Klebsiella pneumoniae MRSN 2404
Lineage: Bacteria; Pseudomonadati; Pseudomonadota; Gammaproteobacteria; Enterobacterales; Enterobacteriaceae
Description: RtT RNA
Rfam family: RtT RNA
About the family: This family represents a bacterial cis-regulatory element known as RtT RNA.
Source: RNAcentral
UAUUCUGCCCUACAGGGAAGGAUGAGAAGCUUCGACUAAGGUUCGACUCGAGCGAAGCGAGAGAACGUUGCCGCAGGCAACGGCCCGAAGGGCGCGCUUCGCUUAGCGAGGCUACAAGUGGUGCCG